RNAcentral lists this unclassified non-coding RNA (698 nucleotides) under Hevea brasiliensis (rubber tree). Lineage: Eukaryota; Viridiplantae; Streptophyta; Magnoliopsida; Malpighiales; Euphorbiaceae. The record is from RNAcentral.
AGUGGUGCCAAUGUUAAACCUGCAUUUACGGUCAUAAAUAUGGUAUCCAACCAACGGAACAAAGGACCAAGUUCCCAAACACAACAGGAUAAAAGAAAGGUAGCAUCACAUAGAUUAUAAUUAUGAAACAAAGCUAUCACAUUGAAAACAUUAUAAUCAACAAAGAGCUAUUAUAUGAGGAAGCCAAUAUCCUCAAACCCCCUCCCUAAAUGAUCAUGAGAUUCAUGAAUUCAACCUCAUGUAUGCACACUAUAGAUCUCCUUCUUUACUAUUUCUUGUAUGCAUAUAAUAGCCUGAGUUACAUUUACCAAAGAUUUUUUGAUAUGCAAGAAACAAAACCAGUUACAUCCGUUUGUCAAGAAUGUAUCGCUGCUUCAACCAGUUACAUCCAGUUAUAUGUAUCUCUCAUUUACACUAAAUUGUAGCCGCUGCUUCAACCAUAAAAAGCCCACAUAAUUAUGGCAGUCAUCCACAACAAAUAAAAACGCUAAGCAACUAAACUAAACUCAGCCCCAACACCAACUGGGGACAGUUAUACAUUACAUGAAUCCUUUUUUUUCCAGCCAUUUCAGGGCAACAAGAAGAAAUCUUGCCAAAAUUUUCAAUGAUGAGUCGAAUAAACAGAUAGCUGCCACUUAACAUCGGGAGAUUAGACAUUGCAUACUCGUCACCAAUAACUUACAGUCAGCACAUUAUCA